GCUACCAUGCAGUCGACGCUAUUUAUAGAGUGGCGCACGGGUGAGUAACGCGUGGGAACCUGCCUUUUUCUGCGGGAUAACGGUUGGAAACGACCGCUAAUACCGCAUACGCCCUAAGGGGGAAAGGUCCGCCGGAAAAAGAGGGGCCCGCGUCUGAUUAGCUUGUUGGUGGGGUAAUGGCCUACCAAGGCGACGAUCAGUAGCUGGUCUGAGAGGAUGAUCAGCCACACUGGGACUGAGACACGGCCCAGACUCCUACGGGAGGCAGCAGUGGGGAAUAUUGGACAAUGGGGGCAACCCUGAUCCAGCAAUGCCGCGUGUGUGAUGAAGGCCUUAGGGUUGUAAAGCACUUUCACUGGUGAAGAUGAUGACGGUAACCAGAGAAGAAGCCCCGGCUAACUUCGUGCCAGCCGCGGGGU
RNAcentral lists this ribosomal RNA (419 nucleotides) under SAR116 cluster bacterium enrichment culture clone PSHTC-044. RNAcentral describes it as "bacterial SSU rRNA". It matches the Rfam family "Bacterial small subunit ribosomal RNA", at positions 50 to 521 of the family's 1533-position model. Lineage: Bacteria; Pseudomonadati; Pseudomonadota; Alphaproteobacteria; Puniceispirillales (SeqCode). The record is from RNAcentral.